CAGAGAUAGCCAGGAAGACUGAUAUCAAAUCGCACCAGUUUGACAGUGCAACAAGUUCUUUGCUGUUGUUUGUUCUGAGUUGAGGUAGUAUAAAGUGCUGGAAUACCUUUCAUUGCCAGUGGUAGAUGUACAAUUUUAACAAGAGACAGUGGGGUGCUGUGAAGUGGGCAUGAGAUGGACUCCCAGGAAUCUCCACACCUGGAGGCAGAUCCGUCAGAAUGUUUAGCCUUUGGCACCUUUUCCCUUCUACAGCUUGCUGAUUCCCUUCCAUUUUUCCUGUGUCUUCCAUUUUUGUUACUCACUCUUCUCUCCCACAUGGUGAAUCAAUGACUCCCCUAAUAGAGCCUGAUCUUUGGGCUCCAGCCUUAAUUCACAGGAAAGGACUUUGAUGGAGCACCAGGUGCCCCUGCCUAACAACCUGUGUAGCAAGAAGGACUCAGUGUAAGCAGUCAUCCCUGUCUAAAGCUCAGGAGUUUCUGGAGCUGAGAUCAUAUGAAUUUUGAAAAAUGAAGGGACACCAUUUCAAAACGGGCUGUUCAAAUGAGUCAUGAGAUAUUUAUAACUCCACAGGGUGUCUCACCAACACUGCACUCUCGUGUGGCAGAACCAGAAAAUGCAGCAGCAGGAGAAGAUUCAACAAACGAAUAUUGAAAUAUGCCAUGAAAGAUGGUUUUUUGCUUAGCGGUCAAGUUGACAUUUGUCUUUAACAAGACUCAGAGUUGAGAGAGCAAUUUGUUGAGAUGCUUUGGAAAUCAGAAUGCACAAAUGUGGCGGUUACUCUUGAUUGUUGGGCAGUGGAGAUAACUCAGUAAAGUGCUGACCCUUAAGCCUGAGGAGGUAUCAGAGUUUGGAACCCUAGACUAUGCAAAAAAGCUGGAUAUACUGUGCAUGUCUAAAACCCAAGAAACUAGAGUUAAGGGCAGGAGGUGGACAGAAGGACACAGAUGGAUCCUGAAGCUCAUUGGCCAACUGGUAUUGCCUUAAGGUGAGCUCCAGGCUCAUUAAGAGCGCCUGUCUCAAAAUAAUUAGGUACAGGAUGAUAAAAGACACCCAAGGUUGACCUCUAGUCUUUGUAUGCCCACAUACACAUGUAUGUGUACCUUGUACCACACGUGCACAUAUACUAGUGGCAUCCCUCCACCCCCCAGACUUGACUGUCAGCUUGACUGGAUUGAGAGAUGCCUAGAUUACCAAAGAACAAUUCUGAAUGUGUUCACGAGGGCUUUCAGAGAGAAUUAACUAACGGAUUGAGACCUGCCUUGAAUGUGGGUGGUACUGUCCAAUGGGUUGGGAGCCUAGAUGGAGUAGGUAGGAUUUUGCAGGAGGAAGUAGCAAGACAACACAAGUACACACUCAGAUUCCUGUUCUAUGAUGUGAGUGUCACAGGUUUGUCACAACCACUGUGACAUCACAGGCUGAAAUCUCAACCCAACAAUAAAGCUUGCCUUCUUUAAAUGGU
Molecule: long non-coding RNA, 1459 nt
Organism: Grammomys surdaster
Lineage: Eukaryota; Metazoa; Chordata; Mammalia; Rodentia; Muridae
Exons: 3
Source: RefSeq, a predicted model, not a curated record